UUCCGGUUGAUCCCGCCGGAGGCCACUGCUAUGGGGGUCCGACUAAGCCAUGCGAGUCAUGGGGCGCCUUGCGCGCACCGGCGGACGGCUCAGUAACACGUCGGUAACCUACCCUCGGGAGGGGGAUAACCCCGGGAAACUGGGGCUAAUCCCCCAUAGGCCUGAGGUACUGGAAGGUCCUCAGGCCGAAAGGGGCUCUGCCCGCCCGAGGAUGGGCCGGCGGCCGAUUAGGUAGUUGGUGGGGUAACGGCCCACCAAGCCGAAGAUCGGUACGGGCCAUGAGAGUGGGAGCCCGGAGAUGGACACUGAGACACGGGUCCAGGCCCUACGGGGCGCAGCAGGCGCGAAACCUCCGCAAUGCGGGCAACCGCGACGGGGGGACCCCCAGUGCCGUGGCAUCGCCACGGCUUUUCCGGAGUGUAAAGAGCUCCGGGAAUAAGGGCUGGGCAAGGCCGGUGGCAGCCGCCGCGGUAAUACCGGCGGCCCGAGUGGUGGCCGCUAUUAUUGGGCCUAAAGCGUCCGUAGCCGGGCCCGUAAGUCCCUGGCGAAAUCCCACGGCUCAACCGUGGGGCUUGCUGGGGAUACUGCGGGCCUUGGGACCGGGAGAGGCGGAGGGUACUCCUGGGGUAGGGGUGAAAUCCUAUAAUCCCAGGAGGACCGCCAGUGGCGAAGGCGCUCCGCUGGAACGGGUCCGACGGUGAGGGACGAAGGCCAGGGGAGCGAACCGGAUUAGAUACCCGGGUAGUCCUGGCUGUAAAGGAUGCGGGCUAGGUGUCGGGCGAGCUUCGUGCUCGCCCGGUGCCGAAGGGAAGCCGUUAAGCCCGCCGCCUGGGGAGUACGGCCGCAAGGCUGAAACUUAAAGGAAUUGGCGGGGGAGCACUACAAGGGGUGGAGCGUGCGGUUUAAUUGGAGUCAACGCCGGA
RNAcentral lists this ribosomal RNA (923 nucleotides) under uncultured archaeon. RNAcentral's name for it is "bacterial SSU rRNA". It matches the Rfam family "Archaeal small subunit ribosomal RNA", at positions 1 to 922 of the family's 1478-position model. The record is from RNAcentral.